CAGUCGCCACGGGAAUACGAAUGGGGCUAGCGUUGUUCGGAAUUACUGGGCGUAAAGCGCACGUAGGCGGAUAUUUAAGUCAGGGGUGAAAUCCCGCAGCUCAACUGCGGAACUGCCUUUGAUACUGGGUAUCUUGAGUAUGGAAGAGGUUAGUGGAAUUGCGAGUGUAGAGGUGAAAUUCGUAGAUAUUCGCAGGAACACCAGUGGCGAAGGCGGCUAACUGGUCCAUAACUGACGCUGAGGUGCGAAAGCGUGGGGAGCAAACAGGAUUAGAUACCCCCGUAGUCCCUGUCUCUUAUAC
Molecule: ribosomal RNA, 301 nt
Filed under: uncultured bacterium
Lineage: Bacteria
Description: partial 16S ribosomal RNA
Rfam family: Bacterial small subunit ribosomal RNA
Source: RNAcentral